CCUACGGGAGGCAGCAGUGGGGAAUUUUGGACAAUGGGCGCAAGCCUGAUCCAGCAAUGCCGCGUGCAGGAUGAAGGCCUUCGGGUUGUAAACUGCUUUUGUACGGAACGAAACGGUCUGCCCUAAUACGGUGGGCUAAUGACGGUACCGUAAGAAUAAGCACCGGCUAACUACGUGCCAGCAGCCGCGGUAAUACGUAGGGUGCGAGCGUUAAUCGGAAUUACUGGGCGUAAAGCGUGCGCAGGCGGUUAUGUAAGACAGAUGUGAAAUCCCCGGGCUCAACCUGGGACCUGCAUUUGUGACUGCAUAGCUAGAGUACGGUAGAGGGGGAUGGAAUUCCGCGUGUAGCAGUGAAAUGCGUAGAUAUGCGAGGAACACCGA
RNAcentral lists this ribosomal RNA (381 nucleotides) under uncultured bacterium. Its description in RNAcentral is "bacterial SSU rRNA". It matches the Rfam family "Bacterial small subunit ribosomal RNA", at positions 338 to 712 of the family's 1533-position model. The record is from RNAcentral.